RNAcentral lists this ribosomal RNA (375 nucleotides) under uncultured organism. Its description in RNAcentral is "bacterial SSU rRNA". It matches the Rfam family "Bacterial small subunit ribosomal RNA", at positions 526 to 897 of the family's 1533-position model. The record is from RNAcentral.
CGAGGGGUCCAAGCGUUGUUCGGAAUCAUUGGGCGUAAAGCGGGUGUAGGUGGCUCUGUAAGUCAGGAGUGAAAGCCCCGAGCUUAACUCGGGAAGUGCUUUUGAUACUGCAGAGCUUGAAUGUGGGAGAGGAUCGUGGAAUUCCAGGUGUAGUGGUGAAAUACGUAGAUAUCUGGAGGAACACCGGUGGCGAAGGCGGCGAUCUGGCCCAACAUUGACACUGAGACCCGAAAGCGUGGGGAUCAAACAGGAUUAGAUACCCUGGUAGUCCACGCCGUAAACGAUGGAUACUUGGUGUUGGAGGUAUUGACCCCUUCAGUGCCGAAGCUAACGCGUUAAGUAUCCCGCCUGGGGAGUACCGGCCGACAACGGUUA